This is a long non-coding RNA of Engraulis encrasicolus (European anchovy), 2176 nucleotides long. RefSeq lists it as uncharacterized. Lineage: Eukaryota; Metazoa; Chordata; Actinopteri; Clupeiformes; Engraulidae. The record is from RefSeq and is a predicted model, not a curated record. The transcript has 3 exons.
UGACAUUCAGUUAAUUUCACUUUCACUUCCACAGGGGCUCCUGGGGGACCUUCAGUGACACAGACGAAUAGGGAUAAAGUGCGGCGAGCUCGAAAGGAACUCAACAAAAGGCUCCAGGAGACCACCGUGAAGCUUCUCAUAAAUGAUCUUCAACACCCAACAGAUGAAGGACCUGCGAUCCUCAACCCCCAAGAGAAAGACCAGGUUCUUCAGGCCAAUCAAACAACCUUCGAUCGGGUGACGUGUCUCGUGGACAUGGUGUGGAACAAGGGAGAGGAUGCUUGCAGGAUAUUCAUCGAUCUGCUCAAAGAAAAUGCACCCGGUCUGUGUAACGAGCUCGGCCUGUGAACUCUUUAGAGUGUCUAACUGUGUUUUCAGACCUCACAUGUCAAUAGCUGGAACCCGGUCUGUGUAACAAGCUCAACCUGUGAACUCUUUGAAGUGCCUAACUGAAAAACUCACCAAAAACCAGAACAUACCUGUACAACUUGACAACAACAGAGAGAACAAGGUGUUGACAUUGCACUUAGCUGCUGCUGCUUUUUCCCAACGCAACUUACCGUUAUUGUUAAGUAUAGGGUAUUGGUUGAAGUCCCUGGAUCAGUGUGGCAUUAGGUAGCUUGCUCAAGGGUACCUCAGCCAUGGAGUGAGGUAGAGAGUGGAAGGGUGGGAUUCGAACCCGCAACCCUCUGAUCUAAAGCCCAUCUCCUUAACCACUAGGCCACGGCUGACAUGUAACAUUUACAUAUUCAGUUAAGGGAAGCAGCCCCUGUUUUAGGGAAGCAGCCCCUGUUUUAGGGAGCUCGGCCUGGUGGAGUGACUAGACUCCAACUCUGGAGUUACGAUACCAUUAUACCAGGGCUGUAAUGAUAUUGUAUCGAACCGAGAAAUCGUGAUACACAGAGUCACGAUACUGUAUCGCAAUACAAGGAGGCAGUAUCGGGAUAUGCCCUUCAAAAGUUUUGUUACCCAGCAGUCCAGAAAACAACCACAUGAUAUGAAGUCUCUAUUUUCUACCUAUAUUCUACCUAUAAACUUUCAUAUUUUUUAUUCAUACUUUUAUUUUAUAAUGUUGGCAAAUGUGAAAUCGUGGGGUGUAUCGAAAUGUAGGUUAAAAAUCGUAAUACGAACCGAAUCGUGAGUGGAGUGUAUCAUUACAGCCCUACAUUAUACUUUAUUGUCAGUUUACACUGAAAUUCAUUUUGCAUCCCUGAGCAACACUCAUUUAAGACAGGACAUACACAUAACAUCACAUUACAAGACUAUUGCACAACUGACAAAAACAGAGGACACAUGCCUACAUACAUGCCUACAUACGUUACAUUGAUACAACCCACAAAACUUGAAGAUAUUACCAACAUGGAGUGAUAACACUAUGCAGUCUUACGACUACAUGUAUACAGAGAGAUUGAUCGAUGUUUGAAGUCAUGUUGAAGUCUGUUGCGGUUGAAGCGGCUUGUAAACGUUUACUGUGGAAUUAGAACUGAGUGUGUUAUGAUUUCUGUAGAAAUCUUGGUCUGUGAAACAAGUUGCAUUUAUUAAUGUAAAUGAAAUGGACAGAAUGUCUCGUAAAAUAAUGAUUAUCCAUUUCAUAACUGACACCUAAUCCUUGAACUAUCCCCAAAGCUCUUGUGCAGUGUAUUGUGUUUGUCUUUGAAACAGUAUGACAUUUUGCCAUAUUGAGUGGAAAUAUAAAUUCCAACUAUUUUUGUACCUUGGCUCACUUUUCAUUGUUUCUAUGUUUCCUAUAAAUUGUAUAUAAAUAUUCCAAACUAAUAUAAAGUGACUGCUUGUAAAUUGCAGAGGUCUUAACUAGUGCCUUCCAAGCAGUUUAUUCACUAUCGCUAUGGAUAACAUUACACUCUGGGAAAAAGACAGAAAAAAGGACCACUUUGCCAUUGGUUUGGCCCAUGGAUUAAUUCAAGUGAUUGAUUAAUUGAUUUAGUAACGACUAUGGUCACAAUUAUUGUGGAAUCCUGUCAGCGGUGGGUGUCAUGUGACCGUGCCUUGAGACUUCCUGUUGCAAGCUGCCACCACUAUAUAAUAAUUAAAUAAUGUUUUUAUGUUUCUAAACUACCACCACUAUAUAAUAAUGCCAUUAAAGAAUGUUUUUAUGUUUCUAAACUACCACCACUAUAUAAUAAUGCCAUUAAAGAAUGUUUUUAUGUUUCUAAAC